This is a regulatory RNA element of Gasterosteus aculeatus (three-spined stickleback), 54 nucleotides long. It matches the Rfam family "UnaL2 LINE 3' element". From Rfam's summary of the family: The eel long interspersed element (LINE) UnaL2 and its partner short interspersed element (SINE) share a conserved 3' tail containing a stem-loop that is critical for their retrotransposition. The record is from Rfam. NCBI's taxonomy places the organism in Eukaryota, Metazoa, Chordata, Actinopteri, Perciformes, Gasterosteidae.
UUUAAAGUGUAAUGUAAGUCGCUUUGGAUAAAAGCGUCGGCUAAAUGACCUGUA